UCCUCCGUGGCGCAAUUGGCUAGCGCGUCUGACUGUUAGAUCUUAGGAUUUCGGCGAUCAGGAGGUUCGUGGUUCGAGCCCACGCGGGGGAG
This 92-nucleotide transfer RNA is filed under the name Massariosphaeria phaeospora. It matches the Rfam family "tRNA". From Rfam's summary of the family: Transfer RNA (tRNA) molecules are approximately 80 nucleotides in length. Their secondary structure includes four short double-helical elements and three loops (D, anti-codon, and T loops). The record is from Rfam by way of RNAcentral. Lineage: Eukaryota; Fungi; Ascomycota; Dothideomycetes; Pleosporales.